GGAAUUGAGGGGUGCUGAAGAUACUUAAGUUCAUUAGUGUUUGUUUUUAUUUGGUGUGUUUAUUUUAUUUUAUGUGGUGUCUUUUUUUAGUUCAUUUAGUGAGUUGAAAUGUAAUUUUAUUUGGUGUUUGUUUUUAUUUGGUGUGUUUAUUUUAUUUUAUGUGGUGUGUUUUUUUAGUUCAUUUAGUGAGUUCAAAUGUAAUUUUAUUUUAUUUGGUGUGUUUUUUUUGGUGUGUUGAUGUUAUUUUAUUUGGUGUGUUUAAAUGUGUUUUGAAUAAAGUACUAAAUUCAAUAAAUUGGAAACAACAUAAAGUACUAAAUUCAAUAAAUUACCAAAUGAAAUAAAUAUACUUUUAGUUUAAAUAAAGUACUAAAUUCAAUAAAUUGGAAACAACAUAAAGUAC
RNAcentral lists this long non-coding RNA (403 nucleotides) under Malus domestica (apple). Its description in RNAcentral is "long non-coding RNA (MDOM_LNC003962)". The record is from RNAcentral. Lineage: Eukaryota; Viridiplantae; Streptophyta; Magnoliopsida; Rosales; Rosaceae.